CUGAGGUAUGCUUGGUGUCGCGUCAGCGCACCGGUUACCCGCCCAUGUGUCAUCUGCACUGGACCCGCCCUGCCUUCGUGCGGGGAGGGGACAGGAAUAUCACUUCGGUCGAGGUGUUGUGUCGUGCCCGAGAGGGUGGACAUGACCGCGGCCGGUCGUAUUUUACACUCUUUGUGAGAACAUGAAGUCUGAAGCAAAUGAAAAUUAAGCA
This 211-nucleotide unclassified non-coding RNA is filed under the name uncultured Ascomycota. Its description in RNAcentral is "sequence contains ITS1". RNAcentral also lists the same sequence under 1 other name. Lineage: Eukaryota; Fungi; Ascomycota. The record is from RNAcentral.